AUGUGUGGUCACCGAGAGGAGUCACUUCAUCACUCUUUGGUCCUGUGUGAUCACGCAAAACUAUUCUGGAGGGAAGUGGAGAGCUUCUUCGACUUCAAGCUGCCCCGGCUACACCCCGUCACUUGGUCGAGGGAUUUGCUAGAUGCCGGGUUUGUGAGCAAAGACAGAGCGGCCAUCAUUAUCACAGUUAUGUGGGCAAUAUGGUCGAGCAGGAACGAGUAUACCCAUGAGGAGGUUAAGUACCAGCCUGGUCGGUCGAUGGUUCUACUAAAAGAACUUAUUCAGGAUCUAUAUAUUCCGGCCGAUCUUUCUGAUCCUCAGCAGGGGAGAAGUGUGGUAUGGACACCGCCAGAGCCUGGCUGUGUGAAAAUCAACACGGAUGCUGCCGUCGAUGUGAAUGCUGGAACUUCAGCUGUUGGGCUUGUGGCAAGAGAUCCUGGAGGACUAGUGCUAGCCAGAAGUCACAAGUUGAGAGGGGUGACUGAUCCUUAUGUGGCUGAACUGCUAGGAGUUAGAGAGGCUGUGCGUCUAGCUAUGGAGAAGGGCUGGACGCGGGUUACUGUCGAAACGGACUGCCAAACUGUCACGGAGGAAUGGGUGGCGACGACGUGCAGAUCGAUGGGAAGCCCAGUCAUCAGCGAAAUCAAAACAUAUCUCCAAAAUUUUCAGGAGCUAUGCAUCAAUUAUGUAAGGAGAGAGGCAAACCAAGCUGCUCAUUGGUGUGCCCAGGAGGGCCUUAGAGGUGCCUCGGAUGUCAUUUCUUAUGAUGUAUUCCCUGUCUUUUUGAUUGCCUUAGUGCAAUCUGAUGUAAACCGAGUCAGAAUUGAGUAA
RNAcentral lists this ribosomal RNA (831 nucleotides) under Triticum aestivum (bread wheat). Its description in RNAcentral is "partial small subunit ribosomal RNA". The record is from RNAcentral. Lineage: Eukaryota; Viridiplantae; Streptophyta; Magnoliopsida; Poales; Poaceae.